This 492-nucleotide ribosomal RNA is filed under the name uncultured bacterium. RNAcentral describes it as "partial 16S ribosomal RNA". It matches the Rfam family "Bacterial small subunit ribosomal RNA", at positions 30 to 507 of the family's 1533-position model. The record is from RNAcentral.
AUUGAACGCUGGCGGCAUGCUUUACACAUGCAAGUCGAACGGUAACAGGCCUUCGGGUGCUGACGAGUGGCGAACGGGUGAGUAAUGCAUCGGAACGUGCCCAGAGGUGGGGGAUAACGCAGCGAAAGCUGUGCUAAUACCGCAUGUGAUCUGAGGAUGAAAGCGGGGGACCAGGCAGCAAUGUUUGGCCUCGCGCCUUUGGAGCGGCCGAUGUCAGAUUAGGUAGUUGGUGGGGUAAAGGCCUACCAAGCCGACGAUCUGUAGCUGGUCUGAGAGGACGACCAGCCACACUGGGACUGAGACACGGCCCAGACUCCUACGGGAGGCAGCAGUGGGGAAUUUUGGACAAUGGGCGCAAGCCUGAUCCAGCAAUGCCGCGUGCGGGAAGGAGGCCUUCGGGUUGUAAACCGCUUUUGUACGGAACGAAAAGGCUCUGGCUAAUACCUGGGGCUGAUGACGGUACCGUAAGAAUAAGCACCGGCUAACUACGUG